AGAGUUUGAUCCUGGCUCAGGACGAACGCUGGCGGCGUGCUUAACACAUGCAAGUCGAACGAGGCUCUACCAGUGGCAACACUGGGAAAGGCCUAGUGGCGAACGGGUGAGUAACACGUGAAUAACCUGCCCCGAAGACCGGGAUAACAGCGGGAAACCGCUGCUAAUACCGGAUGUCCUCAUCGAACCGCAUGACUUGAUGAGGAAAUGGAUUCCGCUUCGGGAGGGGCUCGCGGGCUAUCAGCUUGUUGGUGGGGUGAAGGCCCACCAAGGCGACGACGGCUAGCUGGUCUGAGAGGACGAUCAGCCACACUGGGACUGAGACACGGCCCAGACUCCUACGGGAGGCAGCAGUGGGGAAUCUUGCGCAAUGGGCGAAAGCCUGACGCAGCAACGCCGCGUGAGGGAUGAAGGUCUUCGGGUUGUAAACCUCUUUCAAGCAGGGACGAUAAUGACGGUACCUGCAGAAGAAGCUCCGGCCAACUACGUGCCAGCAGCCGCGGUAAUACGUAGGGAGCGAGCGUUGUCCGGAUUCAUUGGGCGUAAAGAGCUCGUAGGCGGCUUGAUAAGUUGGAUGUGAAACCUCCAGGCUCAACCUGGAGUCGCCAUCCAAGACUGUCAUGGCUAGAGUCCGGUAGGGGCCCACGGAAUUCCUGGUGUAGCGGUGAAAUGCGCAGAUAUCAGGAGGAACACCGGUGGCGAAGGCGGUGGGCUGGGCCGGAACUGACGCUGAGGAGCGAAAGCGUGGGGAGCGAACAGGAUUAGAUACCCUGGUAGUCC
This 780-nucleotide ribosomal RNA is filed under the name uncultured bacterium. RNAcentral describes it as "bacterial SSU rRNA". It matches the Rfam family "Bacterial small subunit ribosomal RNA", at positions 8 to 796 of the family's 1533-position model. The record is from RNAcentral.